GUGUUUGUUUCAUCAUCACUUAUACCAAAAUUGGAAUGAUACAGAGAUUAUUAGCAUGGCUCCUAUACAAGGAUGACAUGCAAAUUUGUGAAGUGUUUCAUAGUUUA
This is a small nuclear RNA of Microcebus murinus (gray mouse lemur), 107 nucleotides long. The record is from Ensembl. Lineage: Eukaryota; Metazoa; Chordata; Mammalia; Primates; Cheirogaleidae.